UGUGAGCUCGAUGAGUAGGGCGGGACACGUGGUAUCCUGUCUGAAUAUGGGGGGACCAUCCUCCAAGGCUAAAUACUCCUGACUGACCGAUAGUGAACCAGUACCGUGAGGGAAAGGCGAAAAGAACCCCGGCGAGGGGAGUGAAAAAGAACCUGAAACCGUGUACGUACAAGCAGUGGGAGCACGCUUAGGCGUGUGACUGCGUACCUUUUGUAUAAUGGGUCAGCGACUUAUAUUCUGUAGCAAGGUUAACCGAAUAGGGGAGCCGAAGGGAAACCGAGUCUUAACUGGGCGUUAAGUUGCAGGGUAUAGACCCGAAACCCGGUGAUCUAGCCAUGGGCAGGUUGAAGGUUGGGUAACACUAACUGGAGGACCGAACCGACUAAUGUUGAAAAAUUAGCGGAUGACUUGUGGCUGGGGGUGAAAGGCCAAUCAAACCGGGAGAUAGCUGGUUCUCCCCGAAAGCUAUUUAGGUAGCGCCUCGUGAAUUCAUCUCCGGGGGUAGAGCACUGUUUCGGCAAGGGGGUCAUCCCGACUUACCAACCCGAUGCAAACUGCGAAUACCGGAGAAUGUUAUCACGGGAGACACACGGCGGGUGCUAACGUCCGUCGUGAAGAGGGAAACAACCCAGACCGCCAGCUAAGGUCCCAAAGUCAUGGUUAAGUGGGAAACGAUGUGGGAAGGCCCAGACAGCCAGGAUGUUGGCUUAGAAGCAGCCAUCAUUUAAAGAAAGCGUAAUAGCUCACUGGUCGAGUCGGCCUGCGCGGAAGAUGUAACGGGGCUAAACCAUGCACCGAAGCUGCGGCAGCGACGCUGAUGCGUUGUUGGGUAGGGGAGCGUUCUGUAAGCCUGCGAAGGUGUGCUGUGAGGCAUGCUGGAGGUAUCAGAAGUGCGAAUGCUGACAUAAGUAACGAUAAAGCGGGUGAAAAGCCCGCUCGCCGGAAGACCAAGGGUUCCUGUCCAACGUUAAUCGGGGCAGGGUGAGUCGACCCCUAAGGCGAGGCCGAAAGGCGUAGUCGAUGGGAAACAGGUUAAUAUUCCUGUACUUGGUGUUACUGCGAAGGGGGGACGGAGAAGGCUAUGUUGGCCGGGCGACGGUUGUCCCGGUUUAAGCGUGUAGGCUGGUUUUCCAGGCAAAUCCGGAAAAUCAAGGCUGAGGCGUGAUGACGAGGCACUACGGUGCUGAAGCAACAAAUGCCCUGCUUCCAGGAAAAGCCUCUAAGCAUCAGGUAACAUCAAAUCGUACCCCAAACCGACACAGGUGGUCAGGUAGAGAAUACCAAGGCGCUUGAGAGAACUCGGGUGAAGGAACUAGGCAAAAUGGUGCCGUAACUUCGGGAGAAGGCACGCUGAUAUGUAGGUGAAGUCCCUCGCGGAUGGAGCUGAAAUCAGUCGAAGAUACCAGCUGGCUGCAACUGUUUAUUAAAAACACAGCACUGUGCAAACACGAAAGUGGACGUAUACGGUGUGACGCCUGCCCGGUGCCGGAAGGUUAAUUGAUGGGGUUAGCGCAAGCGAAGCUCUUGAUCGAAGCCCCGGUAAACGGCGGCCGUAACUAUAACGGUCCUAAGGUAGCGAAAUUCC
Molecule: ribosomal RNA, 1585 nt
Filed under: Escherichia coli
Lineage: Bacteria; Pseudomonadati; Pseudomonadota; Gammaproteobacteria; Enterobacterales; Enterobacteriaceae
Description: partial 23S ribosomal RNA
Rfam family: Bacterial large subunit ribosomal RNA
Source: RNAcentral